RNAcentral lists this transfer RNA (54 nucleotides) under Anolis humilis (humble anole). Its description in RNAcentral is "partial tRNA-Tyr". Lineage: Eukaryota; Metazoa; Chordata; Lepidosauria; Squamata; Anolidae. The record is from RNAcentral.
UGAUAAAGAAAGGAAUUAAACCAAUGUGUACAGGACUACAGCCUGCCGCCUAAC